AAUUUUUAUGCGAUCAACACUCACAAACAAGUUGAGAUCGUCAGUACUUCAAAUCAAUCUUUCAGUUAAUUCUUUAAAAAAUGAACUCCAAAUUUAUGUUAGUAAUUUUAUUAUUCGCAAUUUGGUCAUUUUUCAACUUGAGUCCUAUCACUGGUUUAGAAUUGAAAAGAGUGAGAGCUAUGACGGUUAAAGCUGGAGGCGCGGCUGUAGGAACACGUAGUGGCACAUUCGUGAAAACUUGACUAAGUAGACCUUUAGAUUAUCCAGAAAUCCGAGGGAGACUCAAACAAAAUAAUCACCCAUGGAAACCGGAAACGAAAUCCCGAAUACUUUAACGAUAAAAUUUGAACUUAAUUAUUAUAAAAAUAUUAUUAUUGUUAAUUUUAUUGCAUGUCGGAAUAAACUUUAAGCAAAUA
Molecule: long non-coding RNA, 416 nt
Organism: Microplitis mediator
Lineage: Eukaryota; Metazoa; Arthropoda; Insecta; Hymenoptera; Braconidae
Exons: 5
Source: RefSeq, a predicted model, not a curated record